Molecule: ribosomal RNA, 610 nt
Filed under: Bacillus vallismortis
Lineage: Bacteria; Bacillati; Bacillota; Bacilli; Caryophanales; Bacillaceae
Description: bacterial SSU rRNA
Rfam family: Bacterial small subunit ribosomal RNA
Source: RNAcentral
CCCUGAUGUUAGCGGCGGACGGGUGAGUAACACGUGGGUAACCUGCCUGUAAGACUGGGAUAACUCCGGGAAACCGGGGCUAAUACCGGAURCUUGUUUGAACCGCAUGGUUCAAACAUAAAAGGUGGCUUCGGCUACCACUUACAGAUGGACCCGCGGCGCAUUAGCUAGUUGGUGAGGUAAUGGCUCACCAAGGCAACGAUGCGUAGCCGACCUGAGAGGGUGAUCGGCCACACUGGGACUGAGACACGGCCCAGACUCCUACGGGAGGCAGCAGUAGGGAAUCUUCCGCAAUGGACGAAAGUCUGACGGAGCAACGCCGCGUGAGUGAUGAAGGUUUUCGGAUCGUAAAGCUCUGUUGUUAGGGAAGAACAAGUGCCGUUCAAAUAGGGCGGCACCUUGACGGUACCUAACCAGAAAGCCACGGCUAACUACGUGCCAGCAGCCGCGGUAAUACGUAGGUGGCAAGCGUUGUCCGGAAUUAUUGGGCGUAAAGGGCUCGCAGGCGGUUUCUUAAGUCUGAUGUGAAAGCCCCCGGCUCAACCGGGGAGGGUCAUUGGAAACUGGGGAACUUGAGUGCAGAAGAGGAGAGUGGAAUUCCACGUGUAGC